Gambusia affinis (western mosquitofish) is the source of this 518-nucleotide long non-coding RNA. RefSeq lists it as uncharacterized. The transcript is spliced from 3 exons. The record is from RefSeq and is a predicted model, not a curated record. Lineage: Eukaryota; Metazoa; Chordata; Actinopteri; Cyprinodontiformes; Poeciliidae.
UCAGAAUUCAAUUUAAUUUUAUCAUGUCGUCACCUUUCUAUGUCUUUUUUUGUGACAAAAUCUGUUUUUGAUUAUUUUAGGAAGGUGAUUAUAUGAUAUUAUCACGGGGGUCCUCCAUUUAUCUGUCAACAUAUAUUCCCUUUGUCUUUUCCGUUCUUCAAAGACUAGUUGUCGGUGGUGAUGCUGUGGGCAGAAAGGAUCUCCAGUAGCGCUCUCCAUCCAGGCAGCAGAGACGAUAUUCUACUGGUCCUGGAUGACCCAGUCAGACGUUAGCAGCUCUGCUAAUCCACCUUCUUUGCUUUUGCCGUUCCUCUUUAAAUCUGGCUGUAUGUUUAGAAAGAUGAGCAGAGAGAUGCUGGAGAUGAGGAUAUGAUUCUUGCCUGUUAUGAUCGAUGAAAAAAAAUGGUUUGAACUUUCUCCCCUUUCUCUGCAUCCAUUCAUUCUCUGCUCCAGCUCCUCUAGCAGUUUGAGGUCAGAGUUCACGGAUUAAUUGAGUUUUCGGGAUGCAAUUUAGCUGC